This 257-nucleotide ribosomal RNA is filed under the name uncultured microorganism. RNAcentral's name for it is "partial 16S ribosomal RNA". It matches the Rfam family "Archaeal small subunit ribosomal RNA", at positions 330 to 587 of the family's 1478-position model. The record is from RNAcentral.
GCGCAGCAGGCGCGAAUCCUCCGCAAUACACGAAAGUGUGACGGGGCCAUCCCGAGUGCCGUCCGCUGAGGACGGGCUUUCCCCAGUGUACACAGCUGGGGGAAUAAGGAGAGGGCAAGCCUGGUGUCAGCCGCCGCGGGUAAUACCAGCGUCUCCGAGUGGUGGGGACGCUUAUUGGGCCUAAAGCGAUCCGUAGCCGGCUGGGCAAGUCCUCGUAAAUCCAACGAUUCAAUCGUUGGGCUGCGGGGGAUACGUGU